CGGAACGUACCCAGAAGUGGGGGAUAACGUAGCGAAAGUUACGCUAAUACCGCAUACGAUCUACGGAUGAAAGUGGGGGACCUUCGGGCCUCAUGCUUGUGGAGCGGCCGAUAUCUGAUUAGCUAGUUGGUAGGGUAAAGGCCUACCAAGGCAACGAUCAGUAGCUGGUCUGAGAGGACGACCAGCCACACUGGGACUGAGACACGGCCCAGACUCCUACGGGAGGCAGCAGUGGGGAAUUUUGGACAAUGGGCGCAAGCCUGAUCCAGCAAUGCCGCGUGAGUGAAGAAGGCCUUCGGGUUGUAAAGCUCUUUUGUCAGGGAAGAAACGGCUGAGGUUAAUACCUUCGGCUAAUGACGGUACCUGAAGAAUAAGCACCGGCUAACUACGUGCCAGCAGCCGCGGUAAUACGUAGGGUGCAAGCGUUAAUCGGAAUUACUGGGCGUAAAGCGUGCGCAGGCGGUUUUGUAAGUCUGACGUGAAAGCCCCGGGCUCAACCUGGGAAUUGCGUUGGAGACUGCAAGGCUUGAAUCUGGCAGAGGGGGGUAGAAUUCCACGU
RNAcentral lists this ribosomal RNA (559 nucleotides) under uncultured bacterium. RNAcentral's name for it is "bacterial SSU rRNA". It matches the Rfam family "Bacterial small subunit ribosomal RNA", at positions 119 to 674 of the family's 1533-position model. The record is from RNAcentral.